RNAcentral lists this transfer RNA (57 nucleotides) under Rattus norvegicus (Norway rat). Lineage: Eukaryota; Metazoa; Chordata; Mammalia; Rodentia; Muridae. The record is from Rfam by way of RNAcentral.
UGGCUCAAUGGUUAAGAGCACUGGACACUUUCCAGAGGACCUGGUUUCGAUUCCCAG